AGAAGCGCAUACGGUGGAUGCCUUGGCAGUCAGAGGCGAUGAAAGACGUGGUAGCCUGCGAUAAGCUUUGGGGAGUCGGCAAACAGACUGUGAUCCAGAGAUCUCUGAAUGGGGGAACCCACUCAGCAUAAGCUGAGUAUCUUGUACUGAAUACAUAGGUGCAAGAGGCGAACCAGGGGAACUGAAACAUCUAAGUACCCUGAGGAAAAGAAAUCAACCGAGAUUCCCUUAGUAGUGGCGAGCGAACGGGGACCAGCCCUUAAGUUGAUUUGAGAUUAGUGGAACGCUCUGGAAAGUGCGGCCAUAGUGGGUGAUAGCCCCGUACACGAAAAUCUCUUGUCAAUGAAAUCGAGUAGGACGGAGCACGAGAAACUUUGUCUGAAUAUGGGGGGACCAUCCUCCAAGGCUAAAUACUACUGACUGACCGAUAGUGAACCAGUACCGUGAGGGAAAGGCGAAAAGAACCCCGGAGAGGGGAGUGAAAUAGAACCUGAAACCGUAUGCGUACAAGCAGUGGGAGCCUACUUUGUUAGGUGACUGCGUACCUUUUGUAUAAUGGGUCAGCGACUUAUAUUCAGUGGCGAGCUUAACCGAAUAGGGGAGGCGUAGCGAAAGCGAGUCUUAAUAGGGCGUUUAGUCGCUGGGUAUAGACCCGAAACCGGGCGAUCUAUCCAUGGGCAGGUUGAAGGUUAGGUAACACUGACUGGAGGACCGAACCGACUACCGUUGAAAAGUUAGCGGAUGACCUGUGGAUCGGAGUGAAAGGCUAAUCAAGCUCGGAGAUAGCUGGUUCUCCUCGAAAGCUAUUUAGGUAGCGCCUCAUGUAUCACUCCAGGGGGUAGAGCACUGUUUCGGCUAGGGGGUCAUCCCGACUUACCAAACCGAUGCAAACUCCGAAUACCUGGAAGUGCCGAGCAUGGGAGACACACGGCGGGUGCUAACGUCCGUCGUGAAAAGGGAAACAACCCAGACCGUCAGCUAAGGUCCCAAAGUCAUGGUUAAGUGGGAAACGAUGUGGGAAGGCUUAGACAGCUAGGAGGUUGGCUUAGAAGCAGCCACCCUUUAAAGAAAGCGUAAUAGCUCACUAGUCGAGUCGGCCUGCGCGGAAGAUGUAACGGGGCUCAAACCAUGCACCGAAGCUACGGGUGUCAUCUUUGAUGACGCGGUAGAGGAGCGUUCUGUAAGCCUGUGAAGGUGAGUUGAGAAGCUUGCUGGAGGUAUCAGAAGUGCGAAUGGCGUAACGAUGGCGGCGCUGUCUCCACCCGAGACUCAGUGAAAUUGAAAUCGCUGUGAAGAUGCAGUGUAUCCGCGGCUAGACGGAAAGACCCCGUGAACCUUUACUAUAGCUUUGCACUGGACUUUGAAUUUGCUUGUGUAGGAUAGGUGGGAGGCUUUGAAGUGGGGACGCCAGUUCUCAUGGAGCCAUCCUUGAAAUACCACCCUGGCAACUUUGAGGUUCUAACUCAGGUCCGUUAUCCGGAUCGAGGACAGUGUAUGGUGGGUAGUUUGACUGGGGCGGUCUCCUCCCAAAGAGUAACGGAGGAGUACGAAGGUGCGCUCAGACCGGUCGGAAAUCGGUCGUAGAGUAUAAAGGCAAAAGCGCGCUUGACUGCGAGACAAACACGUCGAGCAGGUACGAAAGUAGGUCUUAGUGAUCCGGUGGUUCUGUAUGGAAGGGCCAUCGCUCAACGGAUAAAAGGUACUCCGGGGAUAACAGGCUGAUACCGCCCAAGAGUUCAUAUCGACGGCGGUGUUUGGCACCUCGAUGUCGGCUCAUCACAUCCUGGGGCUGAAGCCGGUCCCAAGGGUAUGGCUGUUCGCCAUUUAAAGUGGUACGCGAGCUGGGUUUAGAACGUCGUGAGACAGUUCGGUCCCUAUCUGCCGUGGACGUUUGAGAUUUGAGAGGGGCUGCUCCUAGUACGAGAGGACCGGAGUGGACGAACCUCUGGUGUUCCGGUUGUCACGCCAGUGGCAUUGCCGGGUAGCUAUGUUCGGAAGAGAUAACCGCUGAAAGCAUCUAAGCGGGAAACUUGCCUCAAGAUGAGAUCUCACUGGGAUCUUGAAUCCCCUAAAG
Molecule: ribosomal RNA, 2074 nt
Filed under: Pseudomonas sp. p21
Lineage: Bacteria; Pseudomonadati; Pseudomonadota; Gammaproteobacteria; Pseudomonadales; Pseudomonadaceae
Description: bacterial LSU rRNA
Rfam family: Bacterial large subunit ribosomal RNA
Source: RNAcentral